Molecule: ribosomal RNA, 450 nt
Filed under: uncultured bacterium
Lineage: Bacteria
Description: partial 16S ribosomal RNA
Rfam family: Bacterial small subunit ribosomal RNA
Source: RNAcentral
GUGGGGAAUAUUGGACAAUGGGCGAAAGCCUGAUCCAGCCAUGCCGCGUGUGUGAAGAAGGUCUUCGGAUUGUAAAGCACUUUAAGUUGGGAGGAAGGGCAGUAAGUUAAUACCUUGCUGUUUUGACGUUACCAACAGAAUAAGCACCGGCUAACUUCGUGCCAGCAGCCGCGGUAAUACGAAGGGUGCAAGCGUUAAUCGGAAUUACUGGGCGUAAAGCGCGCGUAGGUGGUUCAGCAAGUUGAAGGUGGAAUCCCCGGGCUCAACCUGGGAACUGCCUCCAAAACUACUGAGCUAGAGUACGGUAGAGGGUAGUGGAAUUUCCUGUGUAGCGGUGAAAUGCGUAGAUAUAGGAAGGAACACCAGUGGCGAAGGCGACUACCUGGACUGAUACUGACACUGAGGUGCGAAAGCGUGGGGAGCAAACAGGAUUAGAUACCCGAGUAGUCC